Long non-coding RNA from Alexandromys fortis (reed vole), 464 nucleotides. RefSeq lists it as uncharacterized. The transcript has 3 exons. The record is from RefSeq and is a predicted model, not a curated record. Lineage: Eukaryota; Metazoa; Chordata; Mammalia; Rodentia; Cricetidae.
CGUGUGUCAGGUGAUGUGCCUGAUCACGUAAGACAUUCUAUAACACAAUAACAGAGAGAAUAACUAGUUCUUGAAAGGAAAAAGGGUUAAGUGUACAGAGUUUAGACGGAUAGAAGGGCACCAGACUGGGAACCCGAGUAGGAGGGUUCACUCCCGUUGACGGGUGAGCGCUUGACAACAGUCCGAGAGCAAAUGUUUUGAUGGGCCAGUGCAGACACCGCCGGAACACGCAAUCAGCUUGCCCAGACUCCAGCUGUAAGCAAGCGCGACUUAAGAUGUGCUGCGCAUCCCUGGCUGUCUACAUACCAGAGACUCACAGAAUCCCUGAAGGGAUGGGACAGACGUUGACAAGUGCUUCCCAGUGGUGGUGGCAGGGGCAAUGCAACCUUGACUGAGACUCACAGACACAGAACAAAACCAUUUUGCCCCAGCUUAUCAGUUUUAUUUUUCAUAAUAAAAAUGCA